RNAcentral lists this ribosomal RNA (341 nucleotides) under uncultured Pseudomonadota bacterium. RNAcentral's name for it is "bacterial SSU rRNA". It matches the Rfam family "Bacterial small subunit ribosomal RNA", at positions 29 to 351 of the family's 1533-position model. Lineage: Bacteria; Pseudomonadati; Pseudomonadota. The record is from RNAcentral.
AACGAACGCUGGCGGCGUGCCUAACACAUGCAAGUCGUACGAGAAAUCCUGGGCAACUGGGAGAGUAAAGUGGCGCACGGGUGAGUAACGCGUGGGUAACCUACCCUUGAAUUGGGGAUAACUCCGCGAAAGCGGGGCUAAUACCGAAUAAUAUGCCGAUUCCCACGGGAGUUGGUAUCAAAGAUGGCCUCUGCAUGCAAGCUAUCGUUUAAGGAUGGGCCCGCGUGCCAUUAGCUUGUUGGUAGGGUAAUGGCCUACCAAGGCAACGAUGGUUAGCUGGUCUGAGAGGAUGGCCAGCCACACUGGAACUGAGACACGGUCCAGACACCUACGGGAGGCAG